RNAcentral lists this ribosomal RNA (1180 nucleotides) under Salmonella enterica. RNAcentral describes it as "partial 23S ribosomal RNA". It matches the Rfam family "Bacterial large subunit ribosomal RNA", at positions 1 to 1221 of the family's 2925-position model. Lineage: Bacteria; Pseudomonadati; Pseudomonadota; Gammaproteobacteria; Enterobacterales; Enterobacteriaceae. The record is from RNAcentral.
GGUUAAGCGACUAAGCGUACACGGUGGAUGCCCUGGCAGUCAGAGGCGAUGAAGGGCGUGCUAAUCUGCGAUAAGCGCCGGUAAGGUGAUAUGAACCGUUAUAACCGGCGAUACCCGAAUGGGGAAACCCAGUGUGAUUCGUCACACUAUCAUUAACUGAAUCCAUAGGUUAAUGAGGCGAACCGGGGGAACUGAAACAUCUAAGUACCCCGAGGAAAAGAAAUCAACCGAGAUUCCCCCAGUAGCGGCGAGCGAACGGGGAGGAGCCCAGAGCCUGAAUCAGCAUGUGUGUUAGUGGAAGCGUCUGGAAAGGCGCGCGAUACAGGGUGACAGCCCCGUACACAAAAGCGUAUGUGCUGUGAGCUCGAUGAGUAGGGCGGGACACGUGGUAUCCUGUCUGAAUAUGGGGGGACCAUCCUCCAAGGCUAAAUACUCCUGACUGACCGAUAGUGAACCAGUACCGUGAGGGAAAGGCGAAAAGAACCCCGGCGAGGGGAGUGAAAAAGAACCUGAAACCGUGUACGUACAAGCAGUGGGAGCACCCUUUGGGGUGUGACUGCGUACCUUUUGUAUAAUGGGUCAGCGACUUAUAUUCUGUAGCAAGGUUAACCGAAUAGGGGAGCCGGAGGGAAACCGAGUCUUAAUUGGGCGUUAAGUUGCAGGGUAUAGACCCGAAACCCGGUGAUCUAGCCAUGGGCAGGUUGAAGGUUGGGUAACACUAACUGGAGGACCGAACCGACUAAUGUUGAAAAAUUAGCGGAUGACCUGUGGCUGGGGGUGAAAGGCCAAUCAAACCGGGAGAUAGCUGGUUCUCCCCGAAAGCUAUUUAGGUAGCGCCUCGUGAAUUCAUCUCCGGGGGUAGAGCACUGUUUCGGCUAGGGGGUCAUCCCGACUUACCAACCCGAUGCAAACUGCGAAUACCGGAGAAUGUUAUCACGGGAGACACACGGCGGGUGCUAACGUCCGUCGUGAAGAGGGAAACAACCCAGACCGCCAGCUAAGGUCCCAAAGUCAUGGUUAAGUGGGAAACGAUGUGGGAAGGCACAGACAGCCAGGAUGUUGGCUUAGAAGCAGCCAUCAUUUAAAGAAAGCGUAAUAGCUCACUGGUCGAGUCGGCCUGCGCGGAAGAUGUAACGGGGCUAAACCAUGCACCGAAGCUGCGGCAGCGACACUCAGGUGU